AAAAUCUCAUUAAUGGUUGGGUUCAUCUCAUUCUCAUAUAGUUCAUUCGAGUUUUAGUUUUUAGAGACAAUUAAAAAAGACAAUUAUCUAUUAUAUGUGAAUAUUAGCUCUUUAAUUAUACUGUAUCGAAUUUUUUUUUAUAAUAAGUGGGAUUUUUAAUUUUUUUAAUGUAAUUUAUACUAUUAAUAAGUGGAAUUAAGUGGUAUGAAUG
Molecule: long non-coding RNA, 211 nt
Filed under: Gossypium raimondii (Peruvian cotton)
Lineage: Eukaryota; Viridiplantae; Streptophyta; Magnoliopsida; Malvales; Malvaceae
Description: long non-coding RNA (GRAI_LNC001806)
Source: RNAcentral